CCUACGGGUGGCAGCAGUGAGGAAUAUUGGUCAAUGGGCGCAACCCUGAUCCAGCCAAGUCGCGUGAGGGAGGACGGCCCUACGGGUUGUAAACCCUUUUUGCAGGGGAGCAACGGGCGUCACGUGUGGCACCACUGAGAGUACCCGGAGAAAAAGCAUCGGCAAACUCCGUGCCAGCAGCCGCGGUAAUACGGGGGACGCGAGGGUUAUCGGGAUUUAUUGGGUUUACGGGGGGCGUAGGGGGAUCGUUAAGUCAGUGGGAAAACUGGGGGGCUCAACCCCUGACCGCCAUUGAAACUGGCGCUCUUGAGUGGAAGAGAAGUAUGCGGAAUGCGUGGUGUAGCGGUGAAAUGCAUAGAUAUCAGGCAGAACACCGAUUGCGAAGGCAGCAUGUCGGCUUCCGACUGACGCUGAAGCACGAAAGCGUGGGGAGCGAACAGGAUUAGAUACCCUUGUAGUC
Molecule: ribosomal RNA, 460 nt
Filed under: uncultured bacterium
Lineage: Bacteria
Description: partial 16S ribosomal RNA
Rfam family: Bacterial small subunit ribosomal RNA
Source: RNAcentral